GACGGUUGUCCUGGUUCAAGUGCGUAGGCUUGAGAGUUAGGUAAAUCCGGCUCUCUCUAAGGCUGAGACACGACGUCGAGCUACUACGGUAGUGAAGUCAUUGAUGCCAUGCUUCCAGGAAAAGCCUCUAAGCUUCAGAUAGUCAGGAAUCGUACCCCAAACCGACACAGGUGGUCGGGUAGAGAAUACCAAGGCGCUUGAGAGAACUCGGGUGAAGGAACUAGGCAAAAUGGUACCGUAACUUCGGGAGAAGGUACGCUCUUGAUGGUGAAGUCCCUCGCGGAUGGAGCUGACGAGAGUCGCAGAUACCAGGUGGCUGCAACUG
This 325-nucleotide ribosomal RNA is filed under the name Vibrio cholerae. Its description in RNAcentral is "partial 23S ribosomal RNA". It matches the Rfam family "Bacterial large subunit ribosomal RNA", at positions 1497 to 1802 of the family's 2925-position model. The record is from RNAcentral. Lineage: Bacteria; Pseudomonadati; Pseudomonadota; Gammaproteobacteria; Vibrionales; Vibrionaceae.